This 605-nucleotide ribosomal RNA is filed under the name uncultured fungus. RNAcentral describes it as "eukaryotic LSU rRNA". It matches the Rfam family "Eukaryotic large subunit ribosomal RNA", at positions 23 to 641 of the family's 3401-position model. The record is from RNAcentral. Lineage: Eukaryota; Fungi.
ACCCGCUGAACUUAAGCACAUCAAUAAGCGGAGGAAAAGAAACCAACAGGGAUUGCCCUAGUAACGGCGAGUGAAGCGGCAUCAGCUCAAAUUUGAAAUCUGGCUCUUUUAGGGUCCGAGUUGUAAUUUGCAGAGGGCGCUUUGGCAUAGGCAGCGAUUCAAGUUCCUUGGAACAGGACGUCACAGAGGGUGAGAAUCCCGUACGUGGUCGCUAGCUCUUGCCGUGUAAAGCCCCUUCGACGAGUCGAGUUGUUUGGGAAUGCAGCUCUAAAUGGGAGGUAAAUUUCUUCUAAAGCUAAAUAUUGGCCAGAGACCGAUAGCGCACAAGUAGAGUGAUCGAAAGAUGAAAAGUACUUUGGAAAGAGAGUCAAAAAGCACGUGAAAUUGUUGAAAGGGAAGCGCUUGCAGCCAGACUUGCCUGUAGUUGCUCAUCCGGGCUCUUGCCCGGUGCACUCUUCUGUAGGCAGGCCAGCAUCAGUUUGGGCGGUUGGAUAAAGGUCUCUGUCAUGUACCUCUCUUCGGGGAGGCCUUAUAGGGGAGGCGACAUACAACCAGCCUGGACUGAGGUCCGCGCAUUCGUGCUAGGAUGCUGGCGUAAUGGCUGU